RNAcentral lists this ribosomal RNA (408 nucleotides) under Clostridioides difficile. RNAcentral's name for it is "bacterial SSU rRNA". It matches the Rfam family "Bacterial small subunit ribosomal RNA", at positions 983 to 1390 of the family's 1533-position model. Lineage: Bacteria; Bacillati; Bacillota; Clostridia; Peptostreptococcales; Peptostreptococcaceae. The record is from RNAcentral.
GACAUCCCAAUGACAUCUCCUUAAUCGGAGAGUUCCCUUCGGGGACAUUGGUGACAGGUGGUGCAUGGUUGUCGUCAGCUCGUGUCGUGAGAUGUUGGGUUAAGUCCCGCAACGAGCGCAACCCUUGUCUUUAGUUGCCAUCCUUAAGUUGGGCACUCUAGAGAGACUGCCAGGGAUAACCUGGAGGAAGGUGGGGAUGACGUCAAAUCAUCAUGCCCCUUAUGCUUAGGGCUACACACGUGCUACAAUGGGUAGUACAGAGGGUUGCCAAGCCGUAAGGUGGAGCUAAUCCCUUAAAGCUACUCUCAGUUCGGAUUGUAGGCUGAAACUCGCCUACAUGAAGCUGGAGUUACUAGUAAUCGCAGAUCAGAAUGCUGCGGUGAAUGCGUUCCCGGGUCUUGUACACAC